UUGGGGGCCUCCCCGCUGCAGCAGCCUUAUUCUGGAGAGGUGCAAAGGCCCACUCUCUGUUCUCACGGUUCUUCUCCAGUCGCCUGACCUUUGGCGAGGUACCAGGAUCUUCGUAUGGAGCCCAAGCUGGCCCUAGUUCAGUCUCCAAGGUGCAUCCAGGCCCAGCUUGCUCUUGCAUUUUACUGAACUGAAACCUUAAGAACUCAGGCAAACAGAAUGUGAAGACAACAGGAAGUUGGCUGUAGAUAGAGGAAGCCACUGCAAAGGUGGCGUCAGAGAGAAACCAGUGUGGUGAACUCCUGGCAUGCGCAGGUCACAAGCUUAUUAAACUUGGAUGACAGUAAACCAAUGACUAACCCGGUAAUUGAAACCACAAGCCGAAGAUCUCUAGGGCCUGUUCUCUAGGCCAGGGCCCCUCAUCUUUCCCUUAGCAGAAAGAAGCCUUUGUGGAUUCGAAACCCUCCGUGGCAACCCCACCUCCUCUCAAGGUUGUUUCCCUAGCUUGUCUGAGACUUCAUCCCAACUCCUUCCCUGUCCACUGUAAGGAUGGAGGAAAUCUAACCUUUUAGCCGAAGCACACACAGCCCAUACUCCCUCCUGUCUGACAUGUUUCCAACAGACUAAAGUUACUAAGCCCUUCCUGCCGGGAGGCGCUCAGCUUUUUCUGUUCCAUGAAACUUUGGCUUCAAGCGCUCAGAGCCGCCCAGUUCCUCAG
Molecule: long non-coding RNA, 715 nt
Organism: Mastomys coucha (southern multimammate mouse)
Lineage: Eukaryota; Metazoa; Chordata; Mammalia; Rodentia; Muridae
Exons: 3
Source: RefSeq, a predicted model, not a curated record